Molecule: long non-coding RNA, 644 nt
Filed under: Homo sapiens (human)
Lineage: Eukaryota; Metazoa; Chordata; Mammalia; Primates; Hominidae
Description: HSALNT0271975
Source: RNAcentral
UACAGAGUAAACCGGAACUUCUCCCCGGCCCCUGUCAUUCAUUCAAGGAACAGAAGAUGUUUUAAAAUAUUUAUUCUAGUAAGUCAACUGAAUUUCUAGAGUACCAAUUUCUUUAGAUUCAAGGUAUUAAAUAAUUCUAGACCACUUUACAGAAAGGAGAUACUAUAAUAACUACUUUUUGGAUCUGAAAAUAGGAACAUGAAGCUGUCAGAUUAAAUGAAAACUUCUAAGGCCUUUCAGAAGUGUCUCGAAGUCUCCAAACAACUGCAUCCAGCUACUCAUCAUUAUCAUAGUUCCAAGAAAUGAGAGAUGAAAAUAAAACAUAUAGGGAAGAGUAGUCUUAUGUACACAGUCUUUUGAAUGUUACCCAGACAUAUAGGGAGAGACCAUGGGCCUGGAACACUUCCUCACCAACAGAUAAAGAGCCUGCACAUGUGUGUCGAUGGUUGUUAGACACACCCUCAACUUCAGCAUUUCAGAUUCCAUGCAGCAUGAGUCGAGGUCUUUGUACUGUGGUUUUAGAGGGGUGCAUGUAUGGUAGUUGCUUUGAGUUGUGGGGGGCACCAACCAUAGGAGACCUAUGCAUGCAACAGAAACUUUUCUUGCUCUGUUUUGUGUAUGUGAGUAAAAGCACUCUUCCAUCC